GUCAUAGUACUAUAGUGGUAGUAGAAUUUUCCAAAAAAAAGUAUAGUGAUAGUACGCAGCGUUGUGGCCGCCACGACCGCGGUUCGAUUCCGCGCUAUGACA
Entomophthora muscae is the source of this 102-nucleotide non-coding RNA. The record is from the annotation of a GenBank genome assembly. NCBI's taxonomy places the organism in Eukaryota, Fungi, Entomophthoromycota, Entomophthoromycetes, Entomophthorales, Entomophthoraceae.